This 465-nucleotide ribosomal RNA is filed under the name uncultured Klebsiella sp. RNAcentral describes it as "bacterial SSU rRNA". It matches the Rfam family "Bacterial small subunit ribosomal RNA", at positions 338 to 795 of the family's 1533-position model. The record is from RNAcentral. Lineage: Bacteria; Pseudomonadati; Pseudomonadota; Gammaproteobacteria; Enterobacterales; Enterobacteriaceae.
CUUACGGGUGGCUGCAGUGGGGAAUAUUGCACAAUGGGCGCAAGCCUGAUGCAGCCAUGCCGCGUGUGUGAAGAAGGCCUUCGGGUUGUAAAGCACUUUCAGCGGGGAGGAAGGCGUUAAGGUUAAUAACCUUGUCGAUUGACGGUACCCGCAGAAGAAGCACCGGCUAACUCCGUGCCAGCAGCCGCGGUAAUACGGAGGGUGCAAGCGUUAAUCGGAAUUACUGGGCGUAAAGCGCACGCAGGCGGUCUGUCAAGUCGGAUGUGAAAUCCCCGGGCUCAACCGGGGAACUGCAUUCGAAACUGGCAGGCUAGAGUCUUGUAGAGGGGGGUAGAAUUCCAGGUGUAGCGGUGAAAUGCGUAGAGAUCUGGAGGAAUACCGGUGGCGAAGGCGGCCCCCUGGACAAAGACUGACGCUCAGGUGCGAAAGCGUGGGGAGCAGACAGGAUUAGAUACCCCAGUAGUC